Molecule: ribosomal RNA, 257 nt
Filed under: uncultured bacterium
Lineage: Bacteria
Description: partial 16S ribosomal RNA
Rfam family: Bacterial small subunit ribosomal RNA
Source: RNAcentral
UACGAAGGGGGCUAGCGUUGCUCGGAAUUACUGGGCGUAAAGCGCACGUAGGCGGCUCUUUAAGUCGGGGGUGAAAUCCUGGAGCUCAACUCCAGAACUGCCCUUCGAUACUGGAGAGCUCGAGUCCGGGAGAGGUGAGUGGAACUGCGAGUGUAGAGGUGAAAUUCGUAGAUAUUCGCAAGAACACCGAUAGCGAAGGCAGCUUACUGGGCUGUAACUGACGCUGAUGCACGAAAAGUGUGGGGGAUCAAAACAGG